Molecule: ribosomal RNA, 229 nt
Filed under: uncultured bacterium
Lineage: Bacteria
Description: partial 16S ribosomal RNA
Rfam family: Bacterial small subunit ribosomal RNA
Source: RNAcentral
UACGUAGGCGGAAAAUUAAGUCAGUAGUGAAAUCCUGCAGCUUAACUGUAGAACUGUUAUUGAUACUGGUUUUCUUGAAUAUAGUUGAGGUAGGCGGAAUGUGUAAUGUAGCGGUGAAAUGCUUAGAUAUUGCACAGAACACCGAUUGCGAAGGCAGCUUACUAAGCUAUGAUUGACGCUGAGUUACGAAAGCGUGGGGAGCGAACAGGAUUAGAUACCCUGGUAGUCC